Vicia faba (fava bean) is the source of this 219-nucleotide non-coding RNA. NCBI's taxonomy places the organism in Eukaryota, Viridiplantae, Streptophyta, Magnoliopsida, Fabales, Fabaceae. The record is from the annotation of a GenBank genome assembly.
UCAACCGCAGCCAUAAAAUCCUCUCUUCUUUUUCUCUGAUCUCUCAGCGCCGCGCAACCUUGCUAGCUUUAUCUUGUACUUUGACACCAUCGUGUCCACGACCUCACCCUCUUCCUUUCCACCAAUUUUUGCCACCGUACAAAACCAUAGCAUCUGGUGCAGGCAUUUGACUAAUCGAAAAUGUGUUUGGUAUUGAAAGACAUUCAAGCAUGCUUGCAU